Astatotilapia calliptera (eastern happy) is the source of this 1205-nucleotide long non-coding RNA. The record is from Ensembl. NCBI's taxonomy places the organism in Eukaryota, Metazoa, Chordata, Actinopteri, Cichliformes, Cichlidae.
GUGCUAAGUAGUCACAGGAGGAGCAAACUGCUGAAUGUGAAAGUGGUCCUUGUGCCGUGGCCUUGUGCGGGUGCCAACAUGGACUUGGGUACGGGUGCAGAAUGUGAAACGUUUUCUUCAGAGCUUACAUGCGAUAUCCCGGCAGCCAGUUUGCAGAUCUGAAGCAGUCAGGUAUGGUUAUCACAACCAGAAUCCUCCCAGGAGUGGACAUCCUAACAAAUUCAUCCCAAAGUCAGGCUGUGCAAUACUAAGUAACUGGAAAAAAAAUCAAACAAACAAAAUAAAGACUUACAUUUCAGUUCAGGAACGCACAAGUAGAAAAAAACUGAACACAUAUGAUGUGUUGCCAGGAAAAAGUCUCUUUCUAAAAACAACAUCGCUUAUCUGAACAACAAAUCAAAAGACUUCUGGAAUAAUGUCCUUUGGACAGACAGUAAUAAUGCACAGUGCCACGUUUGGAGAAAACCAAACACAGCGUAUUAGCACAAACACCUCAUGCCAACUGUCAAGCUUUAUAGCGGAGGCACUGACUGGAGCAUGAACUCCUCUGUAUACAAAAGUAUGCUACAGUCAAAUGCGAGGCCAUCUGUCCAACAGCUAAAGCUUGGCUGAAACCGGGUCAUGCAACAGGACAAUGAUUACAAGCACAGCAGCAAAUCUACAAAAGAAUGGCUGAUAAUAAAGGAAUCAAGGUGUUGCAGUGGCCCAUUCAAAGUCCAAGUCUCAACCUGAUUGAAAUGUGGGGUAAAAGAGUUGUAUUUAAAUAAUGCUUGCAAACCUCAAUGAACUAGCAUAUGAAUAUAAACCUGCUGAAGUUGUACAGAAAACUGUUUCUUACAUUUAUUACUGCCAAAGGUGGUUCUAUGUUACUGAAACAGAGGGUUGUACUUUGUUUUUCACAAGGCUGUAAGUGAAGUGACCAUUAAAAAAACCUAUAUUGGUUUAUGUACCUUGUGUUUUAGUAUUUUUUUAAUUGUGUGUGUGUGUGUGUGUGUGUGUGUGUGUGUGUGUGUGUGUGUGUGUGUGUGUGUGUGUGUGUGUGUGUUAUUAUUCAUUACCACAGAAAAUCUGUAAUUUUAUAACUGAAAUCCGGCAUAUUUGCCAACAGCUUUCUUUAUCUAUGCGCAGCUUUAAUGUGGAAUAUCUUUUCCAUUAAAAUAACAUUUGUUCAAAAACACUUACCUACUGUAGUAAACUGCAACAAA